AGAGUUUGAUCAUGGCUCAGGAUGAACGCUAGCGGGAGGCCUAACACAUGCAAGCCGAGCGGUAGAGAUUCUUCGGAAUCUUGAGAGCGGCGUACGGGUGCGGAACACGUGUGCAACCUACCUUUAUCUGGAGGAUAGCCUUUCGAAAGGAAGAUUAAUACUCCAUAAUAUAUUGAUUGGCAUCAAUUGAUAUUGAAAGCUCCGGCGGAUAGAGAUGGGCACGCGCAAGAUUAGUUAGUUGGUGAGGUAACGGCUCACCAAGACGAUGAUCUUUAGGGGGCCUGAGAGGGUGAUCCCCCACACUGGUACUGAGACACGGACCAGACUCCUACGGGAGGCUGCAGUGAGGAAUAUUGGUCAAUGGGUGCAAGCCUGAACCAGCCAUCCCGCGUGAAGGACGACUGCCCUAUGGGUUGUAAACUUCUUUUGUAUAGGGAUAAACCUACCCUCGUGAGGGUAGCUGAAGGUACUAUACGAAUAAGCACCGGCUAACUCCGUG
This 499-nucleotide ribosomal RNA is filed under the name uncultured bacterium. Its description in RNAcentral is "bacterial SSU rRNA". It matches the Rfam family "Bacterial small subunit ribosomal RNA", at positions 8 to 507 of the family's 1533-position model. The record is from RNAcentral.